GGGGAAUAUUGGACAAUGGGGGCAACCCUGAUCCAGCGACGCCGCGUGUGUGAAGAAGGCCUGCGGGUUGUAAAGCACUUUUAGUGGGGAGGAAGGUCUGCGACCUAACACGUCGUGGAAUUGACUUAACCCACAGAAAAAGCACCGGCUAACUCUGUGCCAGCAGCCGCGGUAAUACAGAGGGUGCAAGCGUUAAUCGGAAUUACUGGGCGUAAAGCGUGCGUAGGCGGUUUCGUAAGUCGGAUGUGAAAGCCCCGGGCUCAACCUGGGAAUUGCAUUCGAGACUGCGAAGCUGGAGUGCGGAAGAGGGAAGUGGAAUUUCCGGUGUAGCGGUGAAAUGCGUAGAUAUCGGAAGGAACAUCAGUGGCGAAAGCGACUUCCUGGUCCAGCACUGACGCUCAGGCACGAAAGCGUGGGGAGCAAAC
Molecule: ribosomal RNA, 425 nt
Filed under: uncultured bacterium
Lineage: Bacteria
Description: bacterial SSU rRNA
Rfam family: Bacterial small subunit ribosomal RNA
Source: RNAcentral